AUGAAGCUUCUCCAUCCUGUAGGCCUCCUGCUCUCUUGCUCCUGUCUCCUAUUAUGCGCAGUCGCACCGGUGAGAGCGGACACCUGGCGUGAAGCUGAAGCACUUGUGAGGUGGAAGGCUAGCUUGGCCGGUGCCAAUGAGUCCCUUGGGCCAUGGUCGAUGGCCAACUCCACCAGCCUUUGCGAGUCGACGCACAUCACCUGCGACCUGGCCGGGCACAUCAUAGAGCUCAACCUUGCCUACACAAGUCUGAACGGCACACUUGACAAGUUAGACUUCUCAGCCUUUCCCCACUUGAUGAGUCUCACCCUGAUCCGGAAUGGUCUAUUCGGUACGAUUCCAGCAGGGAUUAGCAACCUGACGAGCUUGGUCACGCUGAGGAUCAUGCAGAACCCGUACUUAAGGGGGCGCAUUCCACACAGCAUUGGACAGCUGAAGCAACUUUCUGUACUGCAACUGGAAGAAUUGGGGCUCCAUAGUACACUACCUGAAGAGAUUGGCAACUUGAUGAGCUUGAUAAUGCUCAAUAUCAAUUUGGUUACUUUGCCAGGAUCGAUCCCACCAACAAUUGGGAUGCUCAUAAAGCUCCGCGAGCUGAGUCUGAUAGGCAAUAAUUUGACAGGGAGCAUCCCAAUGGAGAUAGGAAACAUGACAGGACUGCAGAAGAUAGACCUUCAUGAGAACUAUUUGGGAGGGCAGCUGCCAGGUACCACCUCUCAUCUGGUCAAACUCCAGUAUUUGCAUCUGUCAGAAAAUCAGUUGGUAGGUCACAUCUUCCCCGGGCUUGGGAAUAGCAGCCUCUUAGAUAUAGUCGAUAUUGCAAACAACAACUUCUCUGGGUUCUUCCCAUCAUCCAUUGGCGUAGGAGGAGCGCUGCGUGUGGCCAGUGCUAGAUACAAUGGAUUUACGGGUAUUCACCAUCAGACAUUUCAAAACUGCACAACCCUACAAGAAGUUGACUUCACGGCAAACAACAUUGUCGCAGAGCUGAGUGACUGUUUUAGUGAGCAUCCAGGACAGCUUACCACCAUGGCUUUCAGUCAAAACCAGCUGCAUGGCACGCUUCUCACAGAUCGGGAUCUUGGAGGCAAUGACUUCUCUGGCACAAUACCUUCUUGGGUAAGCAUAAGUUUGCCCGAACUCAUCUUUCUUAGACUGUCAUCAAACAUGUUUGACGGCAUCAUACCCCAGGAGAUCUUACAAUUUCGCCAGCUCCAGUUAUUGGACUUGUCAAAAAACAAGCUCAUUGGACCUGUUCCAGACGAUUUUAGUAAUUUUACUGGCAUGACAGAAGAACAGAGAAGGUACCCUGACAGCAAAUUUUAUCAAGUGCAAAUUCAUAUAGUUUGGAAGAAUGUGGAUUAUGUUUACCAUCUGAGGAUAGCAGCCAUGGUAGCCUUCGACUUAUCAGGUAGUAACUCUCUUUCACAAGAAAUCCCAAAUGGGCUCACGACCCUUCUUGGACUGAGGUACCUGAACUUAUCAGGAAAUCAUCUGUCAGGUUGUAUUCCGGAAGACAUUGGCAAUCUGGUACGGCUCCUUGGACCUCUCACUGAACCAGCUCUCAAGCAAUGGUUUGUCAGGGAGGAUACCUACAGUCAAUCAGCUGCAGACACUUGUAGACCCAUCGAUAUACAGCAAUAG
Molecule: ribosomal RNA, 1644 nt
Filed under: Triticum aestivum (bread wheat)
Lineage: Eukaryota; Viridiplantae; Streptophyta; Magnoliopsida; Poales; Poaceae
Description: partial small subunit ribosomal RNA
Source: RNAcentral